UACAGAGGGUGCAAGCGUUGUUCGGAAUUACUGGGCGUAAAGCGCGUGUAGGCGGUUUGAUAAGUCGGUCGUGAAAUCCCUGGGCUUAACCUAGGAACUGCGAUCGAAACUGUUAGACUUGAGUAUCGGAGGGGAUGGCGGAAUUCCUGGUGUAGAGGUGAAAUUCGUAGAUAUCAGGAGGAACACCUGUGGCGAAGGCGGCCAUCUGGAAGAUUACUGACGCUGAGACGCGAAAGCGUGGGGAGCAAACAGG
RNAcentral lists this ribosomal RNA (253 nucleotides) under uncultured bacterium. Its description in RNAcentral is "partial 16S ribosomal RNA". It matches the Rfam family "Bacterial small subunit ribosomal RNA", at positions 524 to 776 of the family's 1533-position model. The record is from RNAcentral.